RNAcentral lists this ribosomal RNA (481 nucleotides) under uncultured bacterium. RNAcentral's name for it is "bacterial SSU rRNA". It matches the Rfam family "Bacterial small subunit ribosomal RNA", at positions 15 to 518 of the family's 1533-position model. The record is from RNAcentral.
GAUUAUGGCUCAGGACGAACGCUGGCGGCAUGCCUAACACAUGCAAGUCGAACGGGGGUAGCAAUACCCUAGUGGCGAACGGGUGAGUAACACAUAAGCAAUCUGCCCUUCACAGGGGGAUAACAGCGGGAAACUGCUGCUAAUACCGCAUAAGACCACGGUACCGCAUGGUACAGGGGUAAGAACGAAUCAGUGGUGAAGGAUGAGCUUAUGUCCCAUUAGCUAGUUGGUGAGAUAACAGCCCACCAAGGCGACGAUGGGUAGCCGACCUGAGAGGGUGAUCGGCCACACUGGAACUGAGACACGGUCCAGACUCCUACGGGAGGCAGCAGUGGGGAAUAUUGGGCAAUGGAGGAAACUCUUACCCAGUAAUGCCGCGUGAGUGAAGAAGGUCUUCGGAUUGUAAAGCUCUUUGAUUGGGGACGAAGAAAGUGACGGUACCCAAAGAACAAGCCCCGGCUAACUACGUGCCAGCCGCGGC